CAGCAACGGAAGGCAGUAGAUCAGCGGGGCUCCUCGGCAGAGGAACCAUGAGCCACAGAACAAAGCCACAGUGAAUGAAGCCAAGAACUCCAAGAAUGCAUUUUUGAAAGCAGACACCUAUAUGUAAAAGCAGCUCACACAGACAUGGAGUGCUCUCCUUCUCAUCUAGACCUCCUCGGCAUCUGUGUCUGAUUCAAACUCAGGAAGGAAACUAAAGGGCUUACCUGAAGGUUUGUGGACACACGGCCGGCUGCCACUCACUGCACUUGUGAAGCAGACGCUGGGGAAAGGCGGGGAAGCAGACCUCCCACCCCCAGAGUUGGGCCAGAGCCUGGGCCUCAGGAAUACCCAUUGUGCCCCAACAGAGAAAACUAAUGGCCAUGACUGCUGAUCCUGUUGGCCAGUUCUGUGGCUAU
This 416-nucleotide long non-coding RNA is filed under the name Mus spicilegus (steppe mouse). Its description in RNAcentral is "lncRNA (ENSMSIG00000007970.1)". The record is from RNAcentral. Lineage: Eukaryota; Metazoa; Chordata; Mammalia; Rodentia; Muridae.